RNAcentral lists this small RNA (119 nucleotides) under Pongo abelii (Sumatran orangutan). RNAcentral's name for it is "processed transcript". The record is from RNAcentral. Lineage: Eukaryota; Metazoa; Chordata; Mammalia; Primates; Hominidae.
AUCCUUCCCGCCAGAAGAAACUUAUAUUGGGGGAUCAACAACAGCUAGUGCGUUUCUCUAUAAAGCCUCAACGUAUAGGACAGAUUUCACAUGCCGAGAGGCUGUUGAGCAGGCUUCAU